CAGUAGCCGCGGUAAUACGGAGGAUCCAAGCGUUAUCCGGAAUCAUUGGGUUUAAAGGGUCCGUAGGCGGUCUUGUAAGUCAGUGGUGAAAGCCCAUCGCUCAACGGUGGAACGGCCAUUGAUACUGCAGGACUUGAAUUAUUGGGAAGUAACUAGAAUAUGUAGUGUAGCGGUGAAAUGCUUAGAGAUUACAUGGAAUACCAAUUGCGAAGGCAGGUUACUACCAAUUGAUUGACGCUGAUGGACUAAAGCGUGGGUAGCGAACAGGAUUAGAUACCCGCGUAGUCCCUGUCUCUUAUAC
RNAcentral lists this ribosomal RNA (301 nucleotides) under uncultured bacterium. RNAcentral's name for it is "partial 16S ribosomal RNA". It matches the Rfam family "Bacterial small subunit ribosomal RNA", at positions 509 to 807 of the family's 1533-position model. The record is from RNAcentral.